UUAAAAGCUUGAAUUCCCUCGAGGAUGGAUUGUGUAAAACAAGGAGAUUCGAAACUGCUUUGAAUCUAUUUCAUAAAAUUUCUUGGCAUGAAAACCUAGUGCUGCUGAAAAACUUUCUGAAAUAGGUCCCAAGCAGUUUCCAAUACGCUUAUCUUUGGUUUCCUGAAAAAUAAUGAGAGACCAAAAGUUGUUGAACUCCUUUAUAAGAUGGUGGAGAGAAAUCUAAGAAGAAGACCUUCACCAAGUACUCAAGGAAGUUUGAAAGUGAAGAUAGGAAGAAAGAUAUCGAGGCCUUCACCGUUGCCCAGAAGGUUGACUUUUCAUAUGGUUUCUUUGAGAAGCAGAUCUUCGCAAGGUUAGAAAAUCUACAAGCUUCUCACUUUGCCAUGACCGAAUGUGACAGGACUGAGAAGGAUUGCUUUUCCGGUUUUCAGGACUGAGAAGGAUAUUACACCGAUGGCAGGAUUCCCUCUUUAUGGUAUCGUGAAAGAAGAUUUCCUGCUGAUCAAGGGGUGCUGCGUUGGACCCAAAAAGCGCGUGGUGACAUUGAGGCAGUCAUUGCUGAAGCAGACAUCGAGACUUGCAAUGGAGGAGAUUAAGCUCAAGUUUAUUGAUAUAUCCUCCAAGUUCGGCCGUGGUCGGUUCCAGACUACACAGGAGAAGGCCAAGUUCUAUGGAAUCAAGGCUUGAUCAGCUCAAACAUUGUUUUCAAUAUUUGGUUCAUUAAAUUAAACAUCAGGUAUUAGUAGGUUAAAUUUUGAGUUCUUCCUUUGUUGACACUAUUUUGAAGCUUUACACAUUUAGAAAAGUUCUUGGAUCCUUGGAUCGA
RNA transcript from Pistacia vera, 829 nucleotides. It is a transcript of the gene named 60S ribosomal protein L3-2-like, with no coding region annotated. The transcript is spliced from 2 exons. The record is from RefSeq and is a predicted model, not a curated record. NCBI's taxonomy places the organism in Eukaryota, Viridiplantae, Streptophyta, Magnoliopsida, Sapindales, Anacardiaceae.